This 502-nucleotide ribosomal RNA is filed under the name uncultured bacterium. RNAcentral describes it as "bacterial SSU rRNA". It matches the Rfam family "Bacterial small subunit ribosomal RNA", at positions 30 to 504 of the family's 1533-position model. The record is from RNAcentral.
UGAACGCUGGCGGCGUGCUUAACACAUGCAAGUCGCACGAGAACGCUUCAGCUUGCUGAAGCUAGUACAGUGGCGCACGGGUGAGUAACGCGUGGGUAAUCUACCUUUGAAUCGGGGAUAACUCCGCGAAAGCGGGGCUAAUACCGGAUGACAUUUUAAGGACUCCGGAUCUUAAAAUUAAAGGGGGCCUCUACAUGUAAGCUCUUGUUUGAAGAUGAGCCCGCGUACCAUUAGCUUGUUGGUUGGGUAAAAGCCUACCAAGGCUUCGAUGGUUAGCUGGUCUGAGAGGAUGAUCAGCCACACUGAAACUGACACACGGUCAAGACUCCUACGGGAGGCAGCAGUGAGGAAUUUUGCGCAAUGGGGGAAACCCUGACGCAGCAACGCCGCGUGAGUGAUGAAGGCUUUCGGGUCGUAAAACUCUGUCAAGUGGGAAGAACCUAUCAUGUGCGAAUACCACGUGAUACUGACGGUACCACUGAAGGAAGCACCGGCUAACUCC